GACGAACGCUGGCGGCGUGCUUAACACAUGCAAGUCGAACGGAAAGGCCCUGCUUUUGUGGGGUGCUCGAGUGGCGAACGGGUGAGUAACACGUGAGUAACCUGCCCUUGACUUUGGGAUAACUUCAGGAAACUGGGGCUAAUACCGGAUAGGAGCUCCUGCUGCAUGGUGGGGGUUGGAAAGUUUCGGCGGUUGGGGAUGGACUCGCGGCUUAUCAGCUUGUUGGUGGGGUAGUGGCUUACCAAGGCUUUGACGGGUAGCCGGCCUGAGAGGGUGACCGGCCACAUUGGGACUGAGAUACGGCCCAGACUCCUACGGGAGGCAGCGGUGGGGAAUAUUGCACAAUGGGCGGAAGCCGGAGGCAGCAACGCCGCGUGCGGGAUGACGGCCUUCGGGUUGUAAACCGCUUUCGCCUGUGACGAAGCGUGAGUGACGGUAAUGGGUAAAGAAGCACCGGCUAACUACGUG
Molecule: ribosomal RNA, 468 nt
Filed under: uncultured bacterium
Lineage: Bacteria
Description: partial 16S ribosomal RNA
Rfam family: Bacterial small subunit ribosomal RNA
Source: RNAcentral